Molecule: long non-coding RNA, 1416 nt
Organism: Aedes albopictus (Asian tiger mosquito)
Lineage: Eukaryota; Metazoa; Arthropoda; Insecta; Diptera; Culicidae
Exons: 3
Source: RefSeq, a predicted model, not a curated record
AUUUGAUGUGAAUAUGUUUUGAAUGUUGCUAAAUUUUAGCCCCAAGAUUUAGAGUGUAUUACGUUCGGCCAAAUUGCCAAACCCCCGACGUCAGUUUGACAGCUUCAGUACGCAACCUCCAUACCACCACUCACACAUAUCGCACGAAAGGAAAAAACGAACUUCCGCCAGGGAAAGAAAAGUCAGAGUUGCUCGUUAAACGUGGUGCAUGACGGUGAUCGCGAGAGCCGUCGGAAAGAAAAUUCAAGGUGUAUCCACCACGAAAUUCACUUCGUGCACAAGUUUGCGGCUGGUUGCGGUAAAGACACUGCACUGUCGCAGAACAAACAGGUGACUACACAGAGUGAAUCACAGCGUCUUUUGGUCGGCGAAAACGGCACGCGCUCGCGUCUCGGAAGAGCGGUUCGCGGUCAUAACAUCGGCAUUCAAAUCCGACAAAAACGCCACGAGACUUCCCCAAACGGAAGGGCCCGGGAAUAGUUCGACCAAAUCAAAAGGUGGGUAAAUCGCAUUUGGGCAGAAAGUGAGGAGUGAAGCUCAUAACCUCAAAAUUUCAGUGACCACCACAGCUACGGCAGAAAGGCGCCGCAUUUGGCUGCUAGCACCAUAGAGAAGUUGCAUCCUCACGAACCGAGAUCAUACUGUAAAGACAGGUCGGCACCCAAAAAAGGAAGAUCCCGCAAAGGUGCGAAAGCUGAACCAUCCGCUUGCAAGACGAAACGAUCCGCUCGGAACGAGGACAAGGAGGAAUUACAAAGGCCCCGAAGGGUGAGUGUUUCCAGCCUGCAAAGUGGAAUAGGAGGAUUCUUAUCAGAUUCCUGCUGAAGAGCAGGGCCUUUUGUAUUCAUCCCUUUCCGAAUCUAGGACGGACGAGCGACCAACAACAUCCGCCGGCAACACCAGGGAAUGCCGAAUCAAUCUCACUGCGUGAGAGCAAGGAACGUCCUUGGAGCGCCGUCAGAGCUCCCGCCCGGCUGCGUCGGAGAUGAUCGACGACUUGCAAUCUAACGAAUGUCUGAACGCUACCCGACCAUUCUUGCCGCACGAAGAGGAGUCGCGAUCCGGACCCGCAUCUACAUUGGCCGAUUCCGAUCAGAGGACCGUCACGAUUGGCGGACACAGGUGUUAAUGUAUGCGGGGUCGCACGAAAUCGAUCCUUUACGACGGAGUCGACGAUAGGCAACAGUGAGGCGGUACUGUGAGUACAGGGGUGUGAGAGAAGAGGGCAAAACGCACUAUCUAGCGUUAAGAUGUUAGGAGUUAGGGCCAGAGGAGAAAAUCCAUUAAUGUAAAGGGCGACUAAAGCAACAAUACAUUUAUAAACAUGAUUUUUGGCGCAUUUAAUUUAUUUGUUGGUGGACAAGCCUGAGCGACGGGAUUUCGUCUCCCCUAUUCGAUAUUGCUAGCGGGACUUCG